AUGUCAAAAACCACCUUAUGCAAUUGGGUGCCUUCCCAAGUCUCCGAACCCAUCCUUAAGGAUUAUCAAGCUCAAGGCUUUUUGCCGGCUCAAGAAGAGAUUGGUUGGCGAGCCGGCCAAGGAGACGAUGUUCCACGACCCGACGAAGGAGAAGUCGUGAUGUUUGUAGACCAUCUCCAUAGAGGCUUCUCCCCGCCCGAGUCAAAAUUCACUUGGGACGUCUUAAGCUACUUCAACCUUCAUCCUCAAGAUCUGGGCCCAAACUCCAUAUCCAACAUCUGCCACUUUCAAAUCAUAUGUGAAGCAUAUCUGCAGACAGAGCCUACUGUUGCCCUUUUCAAGGAAUUCUUCUAUAUGAACCGCCAAACAAAAUGUGCAGACGGUCCGAGCCUAGAACUCGGCGGAAUUUCAAUCCAGAGACGUAGAGACGGCUGUUUGCCUGCAGCUACCUUACCAAACCAUCCCAAGGGAUGGAUAAGACUUGGUUUUAUUGCAAGAAUACCGUCCCAACUAAUGAGAACCCCUUGCUGGGUUACAGAGAGGACCGCCUUCCCAUGGACUUGGAUCUCCCAAGCCGAAACAUUGCAUAGGAGCAUGUUGAAGCCACCUCAAUCUACCAAAAACUCAGGGCUUUACUUGCUAAUGGUUUAA
This 651-nucleotide ribosomal RNA is filed under the name Triticum aestivum (bread wheat). RNAcentral's name for it is "partial small subunit ribosomal RNA". Lineage: Eukaryota; Viridiplantae; Streptophyta; Magnoliopsida; Poales; Poaceae. The record is from RNAcentral.